Molecule: non-coding RNA, 78 nt
Filed under: Roseinatronobacter ekhonensis
Lineage: Bacteria; Pseudomonadati; Pseudomonadota; Alphaproteobacteria; Rhodobacterales; Paracoccaceae
Source: RNAcentral
UAAGACGUGAUUGAGGAUCUUUCAUGUCUUAACCUCCCUGUUGGACUUCGGCCGAGCAUUGCGCUCGGCCUUUUUUUU